This 588-nucleotide long non-coding RNA is filed under the name Phoenix dactylifera (date palm). RNAcentral's name for it is "long non-coding RNA (PDAC_LNC020893)". Lineage: Eukaryota; Viridiplantae; Streptophyta; Magnoliopsida; Arecales; Arecaceae. The record is from RNAcentral.
AGACAUGACACGUUGCUAGACGUCAAUCUUGUUUUAUAGAUUUGAUCAAAUUAAAGAGUUUAAUUCGAUCACCAAUUAGAAAGGAUUCUAAUUGUUAAGUUCGGGUUCGCGCAGUUUGGACUUAAAUCGAUUAGAAAAGUUCUAAUCAAGUUGGAUCAACUCGCACUCACACGUAUUGCUGGCUAAGUAUGGAACCCAAUGGGUCACACACAAGGAAACUUAUCAAGGGUCUAAUUGGAUUAGAUCAUGUUUGCAAGAUAAACAUCCUAGCAGGUGUUGCAAACCUUAGCUCCUAAUUCGAAUUGGAUUCGAAUCUGAUUCGAAUAGAUCUAAUUUGAUUAGAUCAUAUUCUAAUAUGGGUUAGCCAAGAGUUGGCACCUAAUUGGCUUGGUUUGAGUCUAAUUGGAUUAGAUUUAAUAAAUCAUUCAAUCUAGACUGUUAGAUCUUGAUCUACUGUUGGAUGAAGACAUAAUGGAUAGUUGGUUUAACCCAAUUGGAUUGGGUUAGAGGAUGGCUACCAUAAUUGACCAUUGGAUCUUAAUCCCACCAUUGGAUGAAGACAUAAUGGGUCAAGUGAAUGGCGCCUUG